AAGAGAACAACAAGAGAGAUGAGAGUAGAAGGUUGAAGGAGAAGAAGAAGAAGAGAAGGAGAGAAAUGAUGAUAGAAUGUUGUGUUAGAUUUAAAAAAGGGGAAA
This is a long non-coding RNA of Telopea speciosissima, 105 nucleotides long. RefSeq lists it as uncharacterized. Lineage: Eukaryota; Viridiplantae; Streptophyta; Magnoliopsida; Proteales; Proteaceae. The record is from RefSeq and is a predicted model, not a curated record. The transcript is spliced from 3 exons.